RNAcentral lists this ribosomal RNA (59 nucleotides) under Sordariomycetes sp. MD3. RNAcentral's name for it is "partial 18S ribosomal RNA". Lineage: Eukaryota; Fungi; Ascomycota; Sordariomycetes. The record is from RNAcentral.
UUCCGUAGGGGAACCUGCGGAGGGAUCAUUACUGAGUUACCGCUCUAUAACCCUUUGUG